RNAcentral lists this ribosomal RNA (279 nucleotides) under uncultured bacterium. Its description in RNAcentral is "partial 16S ribosomal RNA". It matches the Rfam family "Bacterial small subunit ribosomal RNA", at positions 506 to 784 of the family's 1533-position model. The record is from RNAcentral.
UGCCAGCCGCCGCGGUAAUACGGAGUGUGCAAGCGUUGUUCGGAAUCACUGGGCGUAAAGCGCGCGUAGGCGGCAAGGUAAGUCAGAUGUGAAAUCCCUCGGCUCAACCGAGGAACUGCAUUUGAAACUGGCGAACUUGAGUACGGGAGAGGAAAGUGGAAUUCCGAGUGUAGGGGUGAAAUCCGUAGAUAUUCGGAGGAACACCAGUGGCGAAGGCGGCUUUCUGGACCGAUACUGACGCUGAGACGCGAAAGCGUGGGGAGCAAACAGGAUUAGAUA